GUCUACGGCCAUACCACCCUGAACGCGCCCGAUCUCGUCUGAUCUCGGAAGCUAAGCAGGGUCGGGCCUGGUUAGUACUUGGAUGGGAGACCGCCUGGGGAAUCUCAGGUGCUGUAGGCU
Molecule: ribosomal RNA, 120 nt
Filed under: Sarcophilus harrisii (Tasmanian devil)
Lineage: Eukaryota; Metazoa; Chordata; Mammalia; Dasyuromorphia; Dasyuridae
Source: RNAcentral